GCCCAGACUCCUACGGGAGGCAGCAGUGGGGGAUAUUGCACAAUGGGGGAAACCCUGAUGCAGCGACGCCGCGUGAGUGAAGAAGUAUUUCGGUAUGUAAAGCUCUAUCAGCAGGGACGAAAAUGACGGUACCUGAGUAAGAAGCCCCGGCUAACUACGUGCCAGCAGCCGCGGUAAUACGUAGGGGGCAAGCGUUAUCCGGAUUUACUGGGUGUAAAGGGAGCGUAGACGGUUAUGCAAGUCUGGAGUGAAAGGCGGGGGCUCAACCCCCGGACUGCUCUGGAAACUGUAUGGCUGGAGUGCAGGAGAGGUAAGUGGAAUUCCUAGUGUAGCGGUGAAAUGCGUAGAUAUUAGGAGGAACACCAGUGGCGAAGGCGGCCUGCUGGACGGUGACUGACGCUGAGGCUCGAAAGCGUGGGGAGCAAACAGGAUUAGAUACCCCGGUACCC
Molecule: ribosomal RNA, 449 nt
Filed under: uncultured bacterium
Lineage: Bacteria
Description: bacterial SSU rRNA
Rfam family: Bacterial small subunit ribosomal RNA
Source: RNAcentral